UACGUAGGGUGCAAGCGUUGUCCGGAAUUAUUGGGCGUAAAGAGCUCGUAGGCGGUUUGUCGCGUCUGCUGUGAAAAUCCAGGGCUUAACCCUGGACCUGCAGUGGGUACGGGCAGACUGGAGUGCGGUAGGGGAGAUCGGAAUUCCUGGUGUAGCGGUGAAAUGCGCAGAUAUCGGGAAGAACACCCGUGGCGAAGGCGGCUCUCUGGGACGGUACUGACGCUGAGACGCGAAAGCGUGGGGAGCGAACAGG
Molecule: ribosomal RNA, 253 nt
Filed under: uncultured bacterium
Lineage: Bacteria
Description: partial 16S ribosomal RNA
Rfam family: Bacterial small subunit ribosomal RNA
Source: RNAcentral